Molecule: long non-coding RNA, 2014 nt
Filed under: Homo sapiens (human)
Lineage: Eukaryota; Metazoa; Chordata; Mammalia; Primates; Hominidae
Description: HSALNT0106007
Source: RNAcentral
CUUCACUUCAAAUGUCAUACAUUUGAAGAAAGCAAAACCUAGCACCUGACUCUGCGCCUGAAGUCAACUGUUCUUGCCUUUAGUUUGCUUUCCAAGGAACCCAAAUGAAGAUAGAAUGACUCAAAGAGAAGAUGUAUAGAAGUACUUACAGCAUGUGGCACAUGGUCUCUGUGCCUGGGCACCAAGCAGACUGUGGUAUCAAUUACAGUGGACCCUGUGCAUCCCUCAGCCAUCCAGGCAGGUGCAGACACUCCUCAGGCUAGGGAUAGCCUCAGGAGACUGACUCAGCCAGAAGGUUGCCCUGGAGAAGACCAGGUAGUCCCUGUUGGCAUGCUCAGAGGACGUGUAGAUCUCUCAUGGAUGGUCAGGACAAUCACCAGUACCAGGAUAUCUGGAUCAGGUAAAAGAUAUUCCAAGAGGAGGUUCAGUUCAGAAGGCAAAUGGGGCAGCAAUCAGCACUGAGAUCCCUGUUCAUACACAAUGGGUAAGAGACCCAGGGACCUAAUUCAGCCCAAGGGAAUGGGUUCAGGUGGCGUCUGGGUGAGAAUCAGGGCCAGCGACCAUCAUCUGGGACUGAGAGGACAACUCAAUUCAGAGGCAGAAAUUCAGAUUUCUUGAGGGGCAAUCUAGCAUUUAUCUUUGAAUUAGCAUGAAUUCUUAUAGAAAUGCAGUGUUGCUUUAUAUGUAUAUGAUUUUGAGUUUACACAAAUAGUACAGUAUUAUGAACCUUGUUCUGUAUUUCACUUUUUAAAUCCUAGCACUGAUUUUUUAAAAACAUUUUCUUUCAGGUAUAUUUGUUUAUUUAUUUACUUAUGUAUAACUUUUAUACAGUAACAUGAAAAAUAUUAAGUGUGUAGCUCAAUGAAUUUUUAAUAACAGCUUUGUUGAGAUCUAAAAUCUCAAUCACUGAUCAUAAAAUUCACAGUUUUAAAGUUUCAGUAGUUUUUGGUAUAUUCACAGUUGUGCAAUCUUUACCACUGUCUAAUGCAGAAUAUCUUCAUCACCCCCAAAAUAAAUCCUGUACCCAUUAACAGUCACUUCCUGUUCUUCCCUGCUCCUCACCCGUGCACCCAUUAGUCUACUUUCUGUCUUAUGGAUUUGCCUCUGCCUCUGUGGAUGUUGGAUAUUUCAUAUAAGUAGAAUCAUAUAUGACCUUUCAUUUCUGGCUUCUUUUACUUAGUAUAAUGUUUUCAAGGUUCACCUAUGUCGUGGCAUGCAUAAGUACUUCAUUUCUUUUUACUGCUCAGUAAUAUUCCAUUGUAUGGAUAUACCACAUUUUGUUUAUCCAUUCUUCAGUUGAUGGACAUUUGGGUUGUCUCCACAUUUAAGGUAUUAUUGACAUGAAUAAUGCUGCUAUGAACAUUCAUGUAUAAGUUUUUGUGUGGACAUGUAGUUUCAAUUCUUUUGGGUGUAUACCUAUGAGUGGAAUUCCUGGAUCACAUGCUAAUUAUAUCUUUAACAUUUUGAGGAACUGCCAAACUGUUUUCCAAAAUGGUUGCACCAUUUUACAUUCUCACCAGGAAUAUAUGAGGGUUCCAAUUUCUCUACCUCCUUGCCAACACUUGUUAUUUUCUUUUUAAAUUAUAGCUAUCCUAGUGGGAGUGAAGUGGUAUCUCAUUGCACAUUUUUUUUUGCAUUUUCUGAAUGACUAGUGAUGUUGAGUAUUGUUUCAUGUGCUUAUUUUAGUGACCAUUUGUAUAUCUUCUUUGAAUAAAUAUCUACUCAAGUGUUCAUUGAAUUUUGACAUGUGUCAAGUUACCCUCGUGUAACUAUCACCCAAAUCAAGAUACAGAACAUUUCUACCUCCCUAGAAGACUCCCCUGUUCUUCUUCCCAGUCAACUUCUUUCCCCAAGAGUAACUAUUAUCCAUUUUUAUUUAUUUAUUUAUUUAUUUUUGAGAUGGAGUCUCACUCUGUCGCCCAGGCUGGAGUGCAGUGGCACAAUCUCGGCUCACUGCAACCUCUGCCUCCCGGGUUCAAGCAAUUCUCCUGCCUCAGCCUGCCGAGUAGCUGAG